RNAcentral lists this ribosomal RNA (424 nucleotides) under Verrucomicrobiota bacterium. RNAcentral describes it as "Verrucomicrobia bacterium partial 16S ribosomal RNA". It matches the Rfam family "Bacterial small subunit ribosomal RNA", at positions 355 to 776 of the family's 1533-position model. The record is from RNAcentral. Lineage: Bacteria; Pseudomonadati; Verrucomicrobiota.
UGAGGAAUAUUGGUCAAUGGGCGAGAGCCUGAACCAGCCAAGCAGCGUGCAGGAUGACGGCCCUAUGGGUUGUAAACUGCUUUUAUAUGGGAAUAAAGUGAGGGACGAGUCCCUUAUUGCAUGUACCAUAUGAAUAAGGACCGGCUAAUUCCGCGCCAGCAGCCGCGGUAAUACGGAAGGUCCAGGCGUUAUCCGGAUUUAUUGGGUUUAAAGGGAGCGUAGGCUGUUUGUUAAGCGUGUUGUGAAAUGUAGGAGCUCAACUUUUAGAUUGCAGCGCGAACUGGCAGACUUGAGUGCGCACAACGUAGGCGGAAUUCAUGGUGUAGCGGUGAAAUGCUUAGAUAUCAUGACGAACACCGAUGGCGAAGGCAGCUUACGGGAGCGCAACUGACGCUAAAGCUCGAAGGUGCGGGUAUCAAACAGG